This 248-nucleotide ribosomal RNA is filed under the name uncultured bacterium. RNAcentral's name for it is "partial 16S ribosomal RNA". It matches the Rfam family "Bacterial small subunit ribosomal RNA", at positions 791 to 1035 of the family's 1533-position model. The record is from RNAcentral.
UAGUCCACGCUGUAAACGAUGGAUACUAGGUGUGCGGGGACUGACCCCCUGCGUGCCGCAGUUAACACAGUAAGUAUCCCACCUGGGGAGUACGAUCGCAAGGUUGAAACUCAAAGGAAUUGACGGGGGCCCGCACAAGCGGUGGAUUAUGUGGUUUAAUUCGAAGCAACGCGAAGAACCUUACCAGGGCUUGACAUCCUACUAACGAAGUAGAGAUACAUCAGGUGCCCUUCGGGGAAAGUAGAGAC